UAGUCACAGGUAGUCACAGGUAGGUACAGGUAGUCACAGGUAGUCACAGGUAGGUACAGGUAGGUACAGGUAGUCACAGGUAGGUACAGGUAGGUACAGGUAGUCACAGGUAGGUACAGGUAGUCACAGGUAGUCACAGGUAGGUACAGGUAGGUACAGGUAGGUACAGGUAGGUACAGGUAGUCACAGGUAGUCACAGGUAGGUACAGGUAGUCACAGGUAGUCACAGGUAGUCACAGGUAGGUAGUCACAGGUAGGUAGUCACAGGUAGGUAGUUACAGGUAGGUAGUUACAGGUAGGUAGUCACAGGUAGGUAGUCACAGGUAGGUAGUUACAGGUAGGUAGUUACAGGUAGGUAGUCACAGGUAGGUAGGUACAGGUAGGUAGUUACAGGUAGGUAGUUACAGGUAGGUAGUUACAGGUAGGUA
Long non-coding RNA from Dicentrarchus labrax (European seabass), 428 nucleotides. RefSeq lists it as uncharacterized. NCBI's taxonomy places the organism in Eukaryota, Metazoa, Chordata, Actinopteri, Moronidae. The record is from RefSeq and is a predicted model, not a curated record. The transcript has 4 exons.